This 497-nucleotide ribosomal RNA is filed under the name uncultured bacterium. RNAcentral describes it as "partial 16S ribosomal RNA". It matches the Rfam family "Bacterial small subunit ribosomal RNA", at positions 28 to 507 of the family's 1533-position model. The record is from RNAcentral.
GAUGAACGCUGGCGGCGUGCCUAAUACAUGCAAGUCGAGCGAACGGACGGGAAGCUUGCUUCUCUGAUGUUAGCGGCGGACGGGUGAGUAACACGUGGAUAACCUACCUAUAAGACUGGGAUAACUUCGGGAAACCGUAGCUAAUACCGGAUAAUAUUUUGAACCGCAUGGUUCAAAAGUGAAAGACGGUCUUGCUGUCACUUAUAGAUGGAUCCGCGCUGCAUUAGCUAGUUGGUAAGGUAACGGCUUACCAAGGCAACGAUGCAUAGCCGACCUGAGAGGGUGAUCGGCCACACUGGAACUGAGACACGGUCCAGACUCCUACGGGAGGCAGCAGUAGGGAAUCUUCCACAAUGGGCGAAAGCCUGACGGAGCAACGCCGCGUGAGUGAUGAAGGUCUUCGGAUCGUAAAACUCUGUUAUUAGGGAAGAACAUAUGUGUAAGUAACUGUGCACAUCUUGACGGUACCUAAUCAGAAAGCCACGGCUAACUACGUG